AAGUCGUAACAAGGUUUCCGUAGGUGAACCUGCGGAAGGAUCAUUAACACGUAUCCAACGUUAAACAACCCUGUGAACUUUCAACCCCGUCGGAAUGAGAUUAAUUUCCAACUCCGGCGAAGACAAGUGACCUGGCACCUGACCUCUCUGGAUGCUUAAUGGAAGGGUGACGCAGUAACGAUCGCUGGAGGCCCACACGGCCGGCGACCGGGUCAGCGGCAUUCUUUAAUGCCCCUUAAAACCACUUAACAUGACGACAGUUCCUCUUUAACUUGAGUUGAGCUAUAACAAAAAACUAAUACAACUGUUAACAAUGGAUAUCUUGGUUCUC
RNAcentral lists this unclassified non-coding RNA (331 nucleotides) under fungal sp. Its description in RNAcentral is "partial internal transcribed spacer region". The stretch from base 1 to 46 matches the Rfam family "Eukaryotic small subunit ribosomal RNA", at positions 1786 to 1831 of the family's 1831-position model. Lineage: Eukaryota; Fungi. The record is from RNAcentral.